AGCUCCAAUAGCGUAUAUUAAAGUUGUUGCAGUUAAAAAGCUCGUAGUUGGAUCUCGGGGACCGGCGGGCGGUUCGCCUCGCGGCGCUGACUGCCCGCUCCGGCCCUACUUGCCGGGUCUUCACGGGUGCCCUUGGUUGGGUGCUCGGCGGAGGCUGGGACGUUUACUUUGAAAAAAUUAGAGUGCUCAAGGCAGGCUUUGCGCCUGAAUAAUGCUGCAUGGAAUAAUGGAAUAGGAUCUCGGUCCUAUUUUGUUGGUUUUCUGGACCAGAGAUAAUGAUUAAGAGGGACAGACGGGGGCAUUCGUAUUGCGGUGUUAGAGGUGAAAUUCUUGGAUCGCCGCAAGACGGACGACUGCGAAAGCAUUUGCCAAGAAUGUUUUCA
Molecule: ribosomal RNA, 383 nt
Filed under: marine Metazoa environmental sample
Lineage: Eukaryota; Metazoa
Description: SSU rRNA
Rfam family: Eukaryotic small subunit ribosomal RNA
Source: RNAcentral